This 74-nucleotide transfer RNA is filed under the name Clostridium perfringens. Its description in RNAcentral is "tRNA-Asn". It matches the Rfam family "tRNA". Rfam says of the family: Transfer RNA (tRNA) molecules are approximately 80 nucleotides in length. Their secondary structure includes four short double-helical elements and three loops (D, anti-codon, and T loops). Further hydrogen bonds mediate the characteristic L-shaped molecular structure. tRNAs have two regions of fundamental functional importance: the anti-codon, which is responsible for specific mRNA codon recognition, and the 3' end, to which the tRNAs corresponding amino acid is attached (by aminoacyl-tRNA synthetases). tRNAs cope with the degeneracy of the genetic code in two manners: having more than one tRNA (with a specific anti-codon) for a particular amino acid; and 'wobble' base-pairing, i.e. permitting non-standard base-pairing at the 3rd anti-codon position. RNAcentral also lists the same sequence under 1 other name. Lineage: Bacteria; Bacillati; Bacillota; Clostridia; Eubacteriales; Clostridiaceae. The record is from RNAcentral.
GGGAAUAUAGUUCAAUGGUAGAACGGUUGGCUGUUAACCAAAGAAUGAGAGUUCAAUUCUCUCUAUUCCCUCCA